Molecule: ribosomal RNA, 497 nt
Filed under: uncultured bacterium
Lineage: Bacteria
Description: partial 16S ribosomal RNA
Rfam family: Bacterial small subunit ribosomal RNA
Source: RNAcentral
GAUGAACGCUGGCGGCGUGCCUAAUACAUGCAAGUCGAACGACAGCACAAGAAGCUUGCUCUCCUACUGGUAGCGGCGGACGGGUGAGUAACACGUGGAUAACCUGCCCAUAAGACGGGGAUAACAUCGGGAAACCGCUGCUAAUACCGCCUAAUACUUCGAACCGCAUGGUUCAAAGGGGAAACGCGGCUUUCGCGUCUGUUGUAGCUGGUACCGGGUUGCAUUAGCUAGUUGGUAAGGUAACGGCUUACCAAGGCUACGAUGCAUAGCCGACCUGAGAGGGUGAUCGGCCACACUGGAACUGAGACACGGUCCAGACUCCUACGGGAGGCAGCAGUAGGGAAUCUUCCGCAAAGGGCGAAAGCCUGACGGAGCAACGCCGCGUGAGUGAAGAAGGUCUUCGGAUCGUAAAACUCUGUUGUUAGGGAAGAACAGAUGCUAGAGUAACUGUGAACGUCUUGACGGUACCUAAACAGAAAGCCACGGCUAACUACGUG